Molecule: long non-coding RNA, 612 nt
Organism: Cornus florida
Lineage: Eukaryota; Viridiplantae; Streptophyta; Magnoliopsida; Cornales; Cornaceae
Exons: 2
Source: RefSeq, a predicted model, not a curated record
UAUAUAUAAUAUUAAUAUUAUAAAAAUAUCAAUAUCAGUGGCCACCGCACUGACUUAUCAAGUAAAACCUAAAUCAUAACUAAAGAAGAGCAAAGAGAAGCCGUCGCCUCACCCCUCUCCUUCGGUUCUUCGAUCUGCUGCCCGUCUCCUUCACCAAAUCAAAACCUAGCAUUUUCCUCACCUCUCUUCUUGACUUCUUCUGAUCUUCAUCGUAAAGAUGUUAUGCUACAGAAUGCACAUGGAUAUAAGAAGUGGUCUUAAACGCUUCCUACUGAGCUUAUGCUCACCCCAUUAUUUUAAUCAUUUUUCAAGAUACGGAAAAGAGGUGGCGGAUGACGAUCCAUCACAAAUCUAGACGUGAUUGGAGAUCUAUUUUAUUUUGCUAACUUUUGUAUUAGAAUUCUAAUAUUUUGUAAAUGUAAGUUUAACUGUUUUGUGAAACUUUAGUUUAAUUGGUAUAAUGUUGUAAGUUAUGGACUUUUAAAUUUGAGCUACAUUUAUGGACUGUGACUUGAUGUAACUAAGGUGUGUUCUUUGUUUGGAUGAGAUGGAGGAACGAGACUUUUUAUAUGAAUGUAAUCAUUUUGGGAAUAUAAUAUAAUAAUUUUAUUA